CACAAAAUCAUACUUCAAGCAACAGAGGUACCAUGCAGGAUGAAUAAUAGGGGCCAUCCUACAGUGGUGCUCCAAGCAGACAGGAAACAUGGCCCAGAAGCAUGGAGGCGCAUCUGUGUCUUGUUUCAGGAAGAAUCAUGCUGCUUGGUCUCCUCCAGUAGAACACGCACAUUCCAUCUCUGAAGAAAGAAAAUUUCAACAGUCCUGGCUCAUUCUAUCCUUUGUUCUCUUUGUGCCCUACAAGGCACAGUGGUCAUAAAGGCUCAGAGGUGCAUCCUGUGCUCUCCGUACAUCCGUUCCAGCAGGUGGAAUAAAAAUCCUGUCAGUGGAUGUGAAUCUCCUAUUGUGAUCCCUGAAGUUCCGCUGAGCUCAAGACAGAUGGACACCCUGCAGCAGCUGCACAAAAUGGCUCUCAGAUCUGACCCGCAUACAAAGCAGAGAGCAUGAGAGUGCUCCAAAGAGAGCUGGCAGCCUCUUGACGUCCGUAAAAUACAAGGCUGGCUCUGGCUUUGACCCUCGCACAUCCCCUAAAACAUGGUAAAGGAAUAGAGAAGUGCUGCACUGCAUUCUUGGAAUUAUUCCAGUCAAUUUGAAUAUAUGACCAAUAUUUGAAUGUAAGACCAUUUAUCAGCUAUUCUGUGUUAUCUGAUAAUACGCUAUCAUCCUUCCAACCUCAAAGACCAGGAGACUAAAUGGUUCAAUAGUGUUUUUUCUUUUCUGUGGCAUUUCCAGGUGACAUAUCUUAUAGUGAGAUAAAAAUAAGGGUAAUACUGUUAGACUGUCUCUUUUCUAGCUGCACAAAAAUAUCCCAUCCUGCCCAUGUGGGACGUGGAUGGCAGGAAACUGACCCGCCUGGCGAGGAGAGAUGGUUGCCUCCAGGAAGGAGUCAAGAGGCCAAACACUGGACACAGGGUGAGGAGUGAGUGCUUGCCAACUCUGGAAAGGAGUCCUAUGCCUGGAUCUUGUCCCAUUGUGCUGGCUGAGCACCACAGGGGACUUUCAAGUGGCACAAAUUCUCGGCUGCACACGGUACCUAAGCCACAGACUGAAAAAUUAUGCAAGCAGGGUCCAGUGCUAAGAAACAGACUAGUGGGACCAAAGGAAGUAGAAUCAAGGUCCUUGCACAAGUAAACUUGGUUUGUGAAUGGGAGAUACAGGAAAAUGUGAAACAGAGAAGACAGAAAACUGACCAGGCAAACUCUCCUGCUCCCUUUUCUGUACUCACUUAUCUUUGAUUCUUAUUGAGAUUCCAUAAGACUACAGAGUCUUAAUUAAGUUCAUUUUCUGACUUUUGUCCCCCUGAUGAAUCUGCCAGGUAAACCUCCAACCUGGAUCAGUUCGAACCCCUGUAUUUCCAUUCCUAUUACUGGUCUGCAGUUGCAUACCUCAGGAGAAAAUAUCCUAACUGUGUAGAAUGGCAUAAUUAAUUAAUGACACCCCCACUGAGUUCUCAGGGAGCUCAGUCAUCUUUCUCAAGAACCCAUUCAAAAAUGUUAACAUCUCAGUGACUGUUUAAAUCUUCUCCAGUCCAUCAAGCCCCAUUCUACCAUGCUCUCUGCCAAUUGUGCCUUCUAUUUUAUGAAGAAGAUAAAAGUCAUAAGGCAAGAAAUACACCAAUUUCCUCCCCCCACCCUUUGACUUAAAAAGAUAUCUAGGGGGUUGCUUUCUUCCCUUCUACCUCAGAAGAAGAGGUCAUUCUUGCACUGUGUGUUAUAUCCUGUCCAAGUCCUCAGAGGACUUGCCUUCACCAAUUAC
Molecule: long non-coding RNA, 1755 nt
Filed under: Heterocephalus glaber (naked mole-rat)
Lineage: Eukaryota; Metazoa; Chordata; Mammalia; Rodentia; Bathyergidae
Description: lncRNA (ENSHGLG00100047727.1)
Source: RNAcentral